AUUUGGUUUAGGGUUUGGUUAGGAUUUGGUUUAGGGUUUGGUUAGGAUUUGGUUUAGGAUUUAGGAUUUAGUUUAGGAUUUAGGAUUUAAAUUAGGAUUUGAUUUAGGAUUUAGGAUUUGAUUAGGAUUUGGUUUAGGAUUUGGUUAGGGUUUGGUUUAGGAUUUAGGAUUUGGAUUAAGGUUUGGAUUAGGGUUUGGUUUAGGGUUUAGGAUUUGGUUAGGAUUUGAUUUAGGAUUUAGAGUUUGGUUAGGAUUUUAUUUAGGAUUUAGGAUUUGGUUUAGGAUUUAAGAUUUUAUUAGGAUUUAAGAUUUAAUUAUUUUUGGCCUAAAGUUUGAAUGAAGUCCAAUAGGAUUUUAACUAGAAUUAAAUUAAGAUUGAAUUGAGAUGUAUUUGAGUGAUAUUUGUCAACCUUUUAAUAUUUCUUUAAGAAUUUUUUAUUGUUGUUUGAAAUUUCUUUGAGGUUUUUUUGAAUUUGAUUAAGCU
Molecule: long non-coding RNA, 484 nt
Filed under: Physcomitrium patens
Lineage: Eukaryota; Viridiplantae; Streptophyta; Bryopsida; Funariales; Funariaceae
Description: long non-coding RNA (PPAT_LNC002280)
Source: RNAcentral